Small nucleolar RNA from Capra hircus (goat), 120 nucleotides. Its record names the gene SNORA70. It matches the Rfam family "Small nucleolar RNA SNORA70". Rfam says of the family: snoRNA U70 seems to be exclusive to mammals and is a member of the H/ACA class of snoRNA which contain H (ANANNA) and ACA box motifs. The record is from Ensembl. Lineage: Eukaryota; Metazoa; Chordata; Mammalia; Artiodactyla; Bovidae.
CUUCAGACUCAGAAGCUGAGGACAGAACCAAAAGGGUGGGUCUGCUGUGCAGUAGCUGCAGACAGCGGCCGCCUCAGUUGCGUCUGCAGCCAGUUGCCCUGAGGGACCUUGGAGACAGCC